This 728-nucleotide ribosomal RNA is filed under the name Klebsiella terrigena. RNAcentral's name for it is "bacterial SSU rRNA". It matches the Rfam family "Bacterial small subunit ribosomal RNA", at positions 24 to 741 of the family's 1533-position model. The record is from RNAcentral. Lineage: Bacteria; Pseudomonadati; Pseudomonadota; Gammaproteobacteria; Enterobacterales; Enterobacteriaceae.
UCAGAUUGAACGCUGGCGGCAGGCCUAACACAUGCAAGUCGAGCGGUAGCACAGAAGAGCUUGCUCUUUGGGUGACGAGCGGCGGACGGGUGAGUAAUGUCUGGGAAACUGCCUGAUGGAGGGGGAUAACUACUGGAAACGGUAGCUAAUACCGCAUAACGUCGCAAGACCAAAGUGGGGGACCUUCGGGCCUCAUGCCAUCAGAUGUGCCCAGAUGGGAUUAGCUAGUAGGUGAGGUAAUGGCUCACCUAGGCGACGAUCCCUAGCUGGUCUGAGAGGAUGACCAGCCACACUGGAACUGAGACACGGUCCAGACUCCUACGGGAGGCAGCAGUGGGGAAUAUUGCACAAUGGGCGCAAGCCUGAUGCAGCCAUGCCGCGUGUAUGAAGAAGGCCUUCGGGUUGUAAAGUACUUUCAGCGAGGAGGAAGGCGUUAAGGUUAAUAACCUUGACGAUUGACGUUACUCGCAGAAGAAGCACCGGCUAACUCCGUGCCAGCAGCCGCGGUAAUACGGAGGGUGCAAGCGUUAAUCGGAAUUACUGGGCGUAAAGCGCACGCAGGCGGUCUGUCAAGUCGGAUGUGAAAUCCCCGGGCUCAACCUGGGAACUGCAUCCGAAACUGGCAGGCUAGAGUCUUGUAGAGGGGGGUAGAAUUCCAGGUGUAGCGGUGAAAUGCGUAGAGAUCUGGAGGAAUACCGGUGGCGAAGGCGGCCCCCUGGACAAAGACU